Long non-coding RNA from Planococcus citri (citrus mealybug), 1559 nucleotides. RefSeq lists it as uncharacterized. NCBI's taxonomy places the organism in Eukaryota, Metazoa, Arthropoda, Insecta, Hemiptera, Pseudococcidae. The transcript has 2 exons. The record is from RefSeq and is a predicted model, not a curated record.
AGAUAACUCACUAUCAAUUAAAUAUUUCUAUAAAUUCAUAAAUGUAAAUCGCAGGCACCAUUUUACUGUAGAUUUCAUUAUUAGCAAGACAACAUCUGAUCAGGCUGAUGUAGCAUAGCGGCCUUAUGUACAAUUGGCCAACUAAAGACAAUAGUUCCAUGAAGAAAAAAGAAAACGAAGACCUUAAGUAAUAAAAUUAUGAAAAAACGGUUCUUGACAAAGAAGAAGCAAGAGAUUCAUUGAAGAAAACUUAUUAAAUAGAACUGCCAACAUUCCAAUUUCCAUGAUGAGGCUUUGUGAAACAAAAUUCACGAGUCAGAAAUUUAUCGAUCGUCCUGCUCAUGUUGAGUAUCGGAAAUUCCGUGAAGAAUAUAUGCGUUCCGUUUUCGAGCAAACAAAAUAUAAAGGAAAGUACGUGACCCUACAACAAUGCAUGUAUGUAGAAACUUUAUAUAUCGAAAAGGACAAGAAUGCAGAAAAGUUACUCGGAAUACUCAGAUCAGCAAAAUGACAUUUACAUAGGUAAUUAUUUAUUAAAUGGCUAUUGCUAAGCCAUGAAUGGGAAGCGACUACUGCAGAAAAGUCCAUAAAUGGAAGACUAAAAGCAUUUCAUGACGUUUUAGAGGAUGAGAAGAAAAGGCUUGGUAUAGAAAAUCUUUUGAAGCAAUUUGGGAAGCAGACACAUUUUCUGUGGACUUACUCAACCAAUUACGUAAAACCAGCAAAAAUUAAUAUCAUCCAUUAAUUCUACAAAAGUUCAUGAAACAUUUUUACAUUUAUCCAUGGUCACUCGUGAUCCAACAAAUAUCAAUUCAUGCAGCAGAAUACUAACCGAAGUGAUUAUCAAAAAUCCGUAAAGGAAAACGACGAGAAUGAUCUGUAAUAAAUAUUCAACAUUAACAUUGGCAUAACUCGGCCGACAGAUUUUCAUUUUCACAUCGACAUUCCUUGAGGUUUUGCGAAACGAAAUUUAUGAGUCGAAAAAUUUAUCGAUCUUGCGGCUUACGUUGACCAAUUUGGAGAUUCCGUGAUUAAUAUCUACAGGCGAUCGCUAGAAAAUACUUGUAAAUGGCCCUAUAAUGAUGUAUGCGAAAACUUAUACUAUACUUAUCGCGGAAAUAAAAGAAUUCAUAAGUUGCCAAACAUACCCAGAUCAGAAAAAUGGCAAUGGUUUAUUGAGUAGUCAUUGUUAAGCUCUGAAUUGGAACUUACCUACAACUAAAGAAAUAAAUUUGUUAAUGAAAAACUGAAAUCUUUUCAUGAUGUUUUGGAGAAUGAGAAAAUAUUUUAGAGCAAUUCGAGAAACAGACACUACUCGUAUCUACAUUAUAUAAACUUUAUCAGUGUGUAGUUUUAUUGAAUAAUGCAUGCAUAAUCACACAUACUUACUUAUUUACCUGUGUAUUUCAUCUUUAGAAUUAAGUUUCUCAUUCACAUUUAGUUCAAGGCAUGAAAAGGCGUUGUUUUUUUGUCUUGAUCAUCAAUCUCAAACAUUCGUGAAAACCCUCCCUCGCUUCCCAUAUUAAAUAAAUUUAAAUAUAUGUAGUUCUUCGUGUCAA